CGGACGGGUGAGUAAUGCUUGGGAAUCUGGCUUAUGGAGGGGGAUAACUACGGGAAACUGUAGCUAAUACCGCGUAGUAUCGAGAGAUGAAAGACUGGGACCGCAAGGCCAGUUGCCAUAAGAUGAGCCCAAGUGGGAUUAGGUAGUUGGUGGGGUAAAGGCCUACCAAGCCGACGAUCCCUAGCUGGUCUGAGAGGAUGACCAGCCACACUGGAACUGAGACACGGUCCAGACUCCUACGGGAGGCAGCAGUGGGGAAUAUUGCACAAUGGGGGGAACCCUGAUGCAGCCAUGCCGCGUGAAUGAAGAAGGCCUUCGGGUUGUAAAGUUCUUUCGGUGAUGAGGAAGGGUGGUGUUUUAAUAGAGCACUACAUUGACGUUAGUCACAGAAGAAGCACCGGCUAACUCCGUGCCAGCAGCCGCGGUAAUACGGAGGGUGCGAGCGUUAAUCGGAAUGACUGGGCGUAAAGGGCACGCAGGCGGUGACUUAAGUGAGAUGUGAAAGCCCCGAGCUUAACUUGGGAAUUGCAUUUCAUACUGGGUUGCUAGAGUAUUUUAGGGAGGGGUAGAAUUCCACGUGUAGCGGUGAAAUGCGUAGAGAUGUGGAGGAAUACCGA
This 617-nucleotide ribosomal RNA is filed under the name uncultured Haemophilus sp. Its description in RNAcentral is "bacterial SSU rRNA". It matches the Rfam family "Bacterial small subunit ribosomal RNA", at positions 99 to 712 of the family's 1533-position model. Lineage: Bacteria; Pseudomonadati; Pseudomonadota; Gammaproteobacteria; Pasteurellales; Pasteurellaceae. The record is from RNAcentral.